This 88-nucleotide transfer RNA is filed under the name Halanaerobium sp. MSAO_Bac5. Its description in RNAcentral is "tRNA-Leu". It matches the Rfam family "tRNA". Rfam says of the family: Transfer RNA (tRNA) molecules are approximately 80 nucleotides in length. Their secondary structure includes four short double-helical elements and three loops (D, anti-codon, and T loops). The record is from RNAcentral. Lineage: Bacteria; Bacillati; Bacillota; Clostridia; Halanaerobiales; Halanaerobiaceae. RNAcentral also lists the same sequence under 1 other name.
GCCGAAGUGGCGGAACUGGCAGACGCGCAGCGUUGAGGGCGCUGUGAGCAUUUUGCUUGUGUGGGUUCGAAUCCCACCUUCGGCACCA